RNAcentral lists this ribosomal RNA (560 nucleotides) under uncultured bacterium. RNAcentral describes it as "bacterial SSU rRNA". It matches the Rfam family "Bacterial small subunit ribosomal RNA", at positions 338 to 916 of the family's 1533-position model. The record is from RNAcentral.
CCUACGGGAGGCAGCAGUAGGGAAUCUUGGACAAUGGGCGCAAGCCUGAUCCAGCCAUGCCGCGUGAGUGAAGAAGGCCUUAGGGUCGUAAAGCUCUUUCGCCUGUGAUGAUAAUGACAGUAGCAGGUAAAGAAACCCCGGCUAACUCCGUGCCAGCAGCCGCGGUAAUACGGAGGGGGUUAGCGUUGUUCGGAAUUACUGGGCGUAAAGCGCGCGUAGGCGGAUUAGAAAGUUGGGGGUGAAAUCCCGGGGCUCAACCCCGGAACUGCCUCCAAAACUGCUAGUCUAGAGUUCGAGAGAGGUGAGUGGAAUUCCGAGUGUAGAGGUGAAAUUCGUAGAUAUUCGGAGGAACACCAGUGGCGAAGGCGGCUCACUGGCUCGAUACUGACGCUGAGGUGCGAAAGUGUGGGGAGCAAACAGGAUUAGAUACCCUGGUAGUCCACACCGUAAACGAUGAAUGCCAGUCGUCGGAUAGUAUACUAUUCGGUGACACACCUAACGGAUUAAGCAUUCCGCCUGGGGAGUACGGUCGCAAGAUUAAAACUCAAAGGAAUUGACGG